UAAAUCAGAACAAAUCCUUAAAAUUCAAAUGCUGAAUGAGUCGUAUGGUCCGUCAGACUUAGAGAUGUCAACUGGUUGGAAGCAGCACGAAUUUUUAAAGAUCUGACGUCAAAUCCAACAACCAAACCAGAAUCCCAAUCUGUCGGGUUUUGAAAAUCCAUGCCCAAAACCAAAUCCAACAAAAAUCUUGAGACCCGAGCCCGAAUCCGGAACAAGUAUUUCUCUAUACUAUAUUUCGAAAUAUAUCAUAUUUAAAUCAAAAUUUUAAAAUAUAAAUUCAAAUACAACACCAAACAUUCAUAUAUAAAAUUUAUAUAUUGGAUCUGGUACAGAUAAAAUUCAUAUCCGAAUCUAAAUUCGUUAAUUUUU
Molecule: long non-coding RNA, 369 nt
Filed under: Ananas comosus (pineapple)
Lineage: Eukaryota; Viridiplantae; Streptophyta; Magnoliopsida; Poales; Bromeliaceae
Description: long non-coding RNA (ACOM_LNC020349)
Source: RNAcentral